CCCUGCCCUUUGUACACACCGCCCGUCGCUACUACCGAUUGAAUGGCUUAGUGAGACCUUCGGAUUCGCGAUCGGCGCCAGCAAUGGCACUGAUUCCUGCUUAGAAGUUGGUCAAACUUGGUCAUUUA
Molecule: ribosomal RNA, 128 nt
Filed under: uncultured eukaryote
Lineage: Eukaryota
Description: partial small subunit ribosomal RNA
Rfam family: Eukaryotic small subunit ribosomal RNA
Source: RNAcentral